GCGAGAGUGGUGAAACUGGUAUACACGCUAGUCUUAGGAACUAGUACUUCGGUGUGCGGGUUCGAGUCCCGCCUCUCGCA
Molecule: transfer RNA, 80 nt
Filed under: Candidatus Ornithospirochaeta stercoripullorum
Lineage: Bacteria; Pseudomonadati; Spirochaetota; Spirochaetia; Spirochaetales; Spirochaetaceae
Description: tRNA-Leu
Rfam family: tRNA
About the family: Transfer RNA (tRNA) molecules are approximately 80 nucleotides in length. Their secondary structure includes four short double-helical elements and three loops (D, anti-codon, and T loops).
Source: RNAcentral